RNAcentral lists this ribosomal RNA (489 nucleotides) under uncultured bacterium. RNAcentral's name for it is "bacterial SSU rRNA". It matches the Rfam family "Bacterial small subunit ribosomal RNA", at positions 903 to 1397 of the family's 1533-position model. The record is from RNAcentral.
AAAUGAAUAGACGGGACCCCGCACAAGCGGUGGAUCAUGUUGUUUAAUUCGAAGAUACGCGAAAAACCUUACCAGGUCUUGACAUACUUCGCAAAGCUAUAGAGAUAUAGUGGAGGUUAACGGAGAUACAGGUGGUGCAUGGUUGUCGUCAGCUCGUGUCGUGAGAUGUUGGGUUAAGUCCCGCAACGAGCGCAACCCCUGUUGCUAGUUGCCAUCAUUAAGUUGGGGACUCUAGCGAGACUGCCAGUGAUAAACUGGAGGAAGGUGGGGAUGACGUCAAAUCAUCAUGCCCCUUAUGACCUGGGCUACAAACGUGAUACAAUGGCUGUAACAAAGAGCGGCAAGAGGGCGACCUUAAGCAAAACUCAGAAAAGCAGUCACAGUUCGGAUUAGAGUCUGCAACUCGACUCUAUGAAGCAGGAAUCGCUAGUAAUCGUAGAUCAGAAUGCUACGGUGAAUACGUUCUCGGGGUUUGUACACACCGCCCGU